UAGGGAAUCUUCCGCAAUGGGCGAAAGCCUGACGGAGCAACGCCGCGUGUGUGAUGAAGGUCUUCGGAUCGUAAAACUCUGUUAUUAGGGAAGAACAAAUGUGUAAGUAACUAUGCACGUCUUGACGGUACCUAAUCAGAAAGCCACGGCUAACUACGUGCCAGCAGCCGCGGUAAUACGUAGGUGGCAAGCGUUAUCCGGAAUUAUUGGGCGUAAAGCGCGCGUAGGCGGUUAUGUAAGUCUGAUGUGAAAGCCCACGGCUCAACCGUGGAGGGUCAUUGGAAACUGGAAAACUUGAGUGCAGAAGAGGAAAGUGGAAGUCCAUGUGUAGCGGUGAAAUGCGCAGAGAUAUGGAGGAACACCAGUGGCGAAGGCGACUUUCUGGUCUGUAACUGACGCUGAUGUGCGAAAGCGUGGGGAUCAAACAGG
RNAcentral lists this ribosomal RNA (429 nucleotides) under Actinomycetes bacterium. Its description in RNAcentral is "Actinobacteria bacterium partial 16S ribosomal RNA". It matches the Rfam family "Bacterial small subunit ribosomal RNA", at positions 355 to 776 of the family's 1533-position model. The record is from RNAcentral. Lineage: Bacteria; Bacillati; Actinomycetota; Actinomycetes.